CCUACGGGGGGCAGCAGUCGAGAAUUUUUGGCAAUGGGCGAAAGCCUGACCAAGCGAUGCCGCGUGCGGGAUGAAGGCCUUCGGGUUGUAAACCGCUGUCAGUGGGGAGGAAAGCUUUGUGAAGAGCAAGGCUUGACCUAUCCGCAGAGGAAGUGUGGGCUAAGUUCGUGCCAGCAGCCGCGGUAAGACGAACCACACAAACGUUAUUCGGAAUUACUAGGCUUAAAGGGUGCGUAGGCAACGCAGUAGGGAAAUACCGCGGCUCAGCCGAGGAACUGCGCCCAAAACUACUGUGCGUGAGGAAGAUAGAGGUAAGCGGAACUUACGGUGGAGCGGUGAAAUGCGUUGAUAUCGUAAGGAACACCUGUGGCGAAAGCGGCUUACUGGGUCUUUUCUGACGCUGAUGCACGAAAGCUAGGGGAGCAAACGGGAUUAGAUACCCCUGUAGUC
Molecule: ribosomal RNA, 450 nt
Filed under: uncultured bacterium
Lineage: Bacteria
Description: partial 16S ribosomal RNA
Rfam family: Bacterial small subunit ribosomal RNA
Source: RNAcentral